Molecule: ribosomal RNA, 119 nt
Filed under: Pteropus alecto (black flying fox)
Lineage: Eukaryota; Metazoa; Chordata; Mammalia; Chiroptera; Pteropodidae
Also listed under: 1 other name
Source: RNAcentral
GUCUACGGCCAUGCCACCCUAAACACGCCCAAUCCUGUCUGAUCUCGGAAGCUAAGCAGGGUAGGGCCUGGUUAGUACUUGAAUGGGAGACCACCUAGGAAGACCAGGUGCUAUAGGCA